Sorex araneus (European shrew) is the source of this 105-nucleotide small nuclear RNA. Lineage: Eukaryota; Metazoa; Chordata; Mammalia; Eulipotyphla; Soricidae. The record is from Ensembl.
GCCCCUUUCAGUCGCGCACACGAUAAAACUUAAAUAACACCAAGAAGCUUAGCAUGUCUCCUGUUUAAGGAUGGCAUGCAAAUUUGACAAGUGUUCCCUAUUUAA